Molecule: ribosomal RNA, 439 nt
Filed under: uncultured bacterium
Lineage: Bacteria
Description: partial 16S ribosomal RNA
Rfam family: Bacterial small subunit ribosomal RNA
Source: RNAcentral
CCUACGGGUGGCAGCAGUGGGGAAUAUUGCACAAUGGGCGAAAGCCUGAUGCAGCAACGCCGCGUGAGCGAUGAAGGCCUUCGGGUCGUAAAGCUCUGUCCUCAAGGAAGAUAAUGACGGUACUUGAGCAUUCAGCCCCGGCUAACUCCGUGCCAGCAGCCGCGGUCAUACGUAGGGGGCUAGCGUUAUCCGGAAUUACUGGGCGAAAAGGGUGCGUAGGUGGUUUCUUAAGUCAGAGGUGAAAGGCUACGGCUAAACCGUAGUAAGCCUUUGAAACUGGGAAACUUGAGUGCAGGAGAGGAGAGUGGAAUUCCUAGUGUAGCGGUGAAAUGCGUAGAUAUUAGGAGGAACACCAGUUGCGAAGGCGGCUCGCUGGACUGUAACUGACACUGAGGCACGAAAGCGUGGGGAGCAAACAGGAUUAGAUACCCCAGUAGUC